ACAACCUUCCUCCAUGAAAAGACUCUCCUCACUCUCACCUCCACUCUCUCUUCACUCACCUCUCACACACAUAGAGACAGGAAUAACGAGAGAAAAACAUAGGUUAAAAAUGGACAAAAAGAAAGAUAGAGAGAGAGGACGAAACACCUAGAGAGAGGGACUUUCUUCUUCUUCUUGGCCAAGAGCAACGUCUCUGCUGCUGGUCUUCUUCUUUCUCAGAAAAAAUUGCAGCACCAUAAACUCACAUCUGUUCAACACCAAAAAUCAUCCCCAAAUUUCAGCCUAAAACACCUCUGAAAUACCCCAAAAACUAGCUGAAAACCAGAUCUAAAACACCUCAAAAUCUGCCCCAAAACCCACCUCCAUCAACACCAAUAUUCAGCUCCAAAGCUGCUGCAAAAAUGCAGCAACUCUCCUCCCCAAAUCAGCCAUGAAAUUCACCUCCAAAACACCUUUAAACUAGCUCCAAAAUAGCAAUAUUUCACAGCCGAAUCCAGCUGGAAAAUACAGCAAUAAGCACCAUUAAAACCAUCAUAAUUCUUUCCCAAGGCAGCGUGUAAUUGGGAUUGAACCAGAUUAGAUUUGACAUCGAGGUUCCGGCGUGGCUUUCAGUUGGUGGGACCGUUCGCUCUCAGCUUCGUCAGAGGCUCCUCUUUGCAUAUUGGUUGGAAGCUCUUUCAAACAUUGAAAGUUAAUCAAAAGGUCCAUUUUUAAUCUAUUUUUUUCCAAUAUAAUAGUAGAUCUGUUGUGACUUUUGUUAUAUGCUAUGCCUAUUCCUAUGGUCGGGUAAAUGUUUUCCUGUUUGAAUUUGCUUAUAGAUUUGAUGUAUAGAGUUAUAACUUGAAUUAAUUAUGUGACUAUUAAGUAAUUUGUUUAGUUUGAUUAAAUUCAAAAUUAAAUAAUGAUGUCCAUGUGAUUAGUUGGGAAUUUGUGGUGGACUGUGAAUAUUUAGAAAUUAGAAUUUUAGAUGUUCUUUGUUUUGUAUAGCACAUAGUAUCAAAUUAAUGUUUUUGCUGUAAAUGUCCGAAGUCUUUUCUCUUUCUUUAUAGAAGUUUUAAUUACGUACAUUUCUUUUGCUUAUUGUUUGAAUAUUUUUAGUUGAAAUCAUGUUGCAACAAGUUUAUUUACUAGUUAAAAUAGAUCUUUGAUAUACUGCACUAGGCUUCAUUAGAUUUUUGAAUGCUUAGAGAAUAAUAUUAUAGUGCUCAACGGAUUUUGGGCCUAAGUUUAGUUUAGGGAUGACGGAUGCUGGAAAUAAUUUUGACGAAAUGAUAAUGAAAUUUGGCCCAAAAGAAUUAUGCUUGGCCCACCUCCUUAAGUAAAAUAAGCAACUUUUGAACAUCCUAGCUUGCUUUAGGCAUGAUUAAUAAAUUAUUACGGCUAUGAGUACGGUUCUCGUGGCAUGGUCGUGAUACAUAAUUCCCAAUUUGAGUGUGCGUUUUACGUGACUCGACCAUAACUUCAAACAAUAACUAAAAUAAAUAUAUUGUAAAUUGCGGGUGCAUUUCAUGUGACGCGAUUCGCAAUAUGUACAAAAUCAAUGAGUGCACGAUAUCGUGACUCGUUCAAAUAAAUUUCAUAAAUCGAAAAAGAGGUUAAAUAAAUAAAAGCGAUUAUAAAAUUAAAAAUGCACAAUAAGUUUAAAACAUGUAAUAAAUCAGAUAAUGAGGCCAAUUAUUAAUAGUUGAGCGAUCGCUCUAAAACCACGAAACUCGAGAAUGCCUAACACCUUCUCUGGGUUAACAGAAUUCCUUAUCCGGUCUUCUGUGUUCGCCGACCAAAAAGUAGAGUCAAUUUUCCUCGAUUUGGGAUUUAAAAUAAACCGGUGACUUGGGACACCAACAAUUAUUCCAAGUAGCGACUUUGAAAUUAAAUAAAUAAUCUCAUUUCGAUUAUGUCACUUAAAUUUGAAAAACUCCCUAUCCCCCCUUGGGAAAGGAUGUGUUACAGGUACAAUCCAAAUAAAGAAUUUAACAGUACAGAAAUGUAGACAUGCUUUCAAGUUUAAUAGUUUAAAUUCAAUACAGAUAAAAUAUUCCAAGUGUGACUGAAAUGAGGAAUGAUACAUCACUAUAUCUACAUGUCAAUUAUGCAUAUCAACUGUAAUGCAACACAAUGAUAAAGUCAUAUGCAUACUCUCGGAGUAUCAAGUCUCUCAGUCCUCACAGUUACUCAGCACUCGCGAUUGGCACUCGCACUCGACACUCGUACUCAGUAGAUACCUGUACUCACUGCUGGUAAGUCAGACUCCGGAGGGGCGGAUUCUCCUAGCGCUAAAAUAAGCCAAUCAUGGCAUGAAUCAAUAAAGCAUGUUGCGGCAUGCAGCCCGAUCCAUAAACAUCACUCACAAUCAGGCCCUCAGCUUCACUCAGUCAUCAAUCUCCCAUGUCUCUCAGGCUCACGAAUAUCAUGACAAUCAGCCCUAACAAUGAUGAUAUUACGUAUUAAUAAAUGGUAACAGAUACUAAGAUAUUAUAUGCAAACGAUAGAUGUGACUUAGUAUAUAAUUGCAAAUUAAGCAAGAAAUUCAAAAUCAACACGACCUCUAUGGAUCCCAACAGUACUAGCGUAUAGCCUAAGCAUGAUUUAUAACAUGAAUCACAGCUCAAUUUCUCUAACACAAAGAGAAUACACGAAUAAUGCUCAGAUUAGAUGACUACACAAUUCCACGGAAUUGACUGAGUCACAAUUUCUAUGGUGCACACGCACACGCCCGUCAUCUAGUAUGUGUGUCAUCUCAACACCAAUCACGUAACACGUAAUUCAGCGAUUCAUACCCCCAGGACCAAGUUUAGAAAUGUUAUUUAUCUCAAACCGUGCAUAUCUCUCCUCGAAUAAGCCCUUGCCUCACGAAUCGGCCUCCGAAUGCCUCAAAUCUAGCCACAAUUGACUCGAUGCAAUUAACACAAGCUAUGGGAAUCAAUUUCAUAUGACAAAGCUAAAUUCUUUAACUAAAGUCAAAAGGUCAACCCCGGGCCUACAUCUCGGAAUCUAACAACAUUAAGAAAAUCCGAACACCCAUUCAACCAAGAGUCCAACCAUAAGAAAAUUACCGAAUUCCGAUCACAACUCGACCUUCAAAUCCUCAAAUUAAAGCCUAUGAAGUUUCUAUAAUUUUCCUUUAAUUUUUCCUACUCAAAACAUUAAUUAAAUGAUAAUAAUAAUAAUAGAUUCAUAUAUACCAAAUCCGAGUUAGAAUCACUUACCCCAAUCAAUUCCUUGAAAAUCCCUCCAAGAAUCGCUUCAAUUCGAGCACCCAAAGUCCAAUUAUGAAAUUUUACUCUAACCCUCGUUUUUGAAAUCUUAUAUUCUGCCUAGAUAUCCUUCUUCACGAACGCAAAAAGUGUCUUACGUUUGCGAAGCAUAAAACUCAACUGCCCAAUACACCUCUUACGCGAACGCGAAGGCUCCCUCGCGAACGCGAUGCUUCACAGAACUCUGCCUAUGCAAACGCAUCCCCCUGACCACGAACGCGAAGACUUAAGGCCUGGUGCCCGGCUCCCUCUCGCAAUCGCGAUACACAACUUCCCCAGACCUUCGCAAAUGCGGUACUCUCUUCGCGAACGCGAUGAACAAUCAUCACCUGCCUCCCAAGUACUCUUCGCAAACGCGAAACCUCUCUCGCGAAUGUGUAUAAGGAAACCGGUAAUAGAGAAAUCAGUAGUUCUUCAAGGUUCAAAAUGCGCGGAACAUGAUCUGAAUCACACCCGAAGCUUCCAAGACCUCAACCAAGCAUACCAAAAAGUCCUAAAACAUCAUACGAACUCGCUCGAAGCGUCAUAUCACAUCAAACAACAUUAAAACUACGAAUCGUGCAUUGAUUCAAGCCUAAUGAACUUAUGAACUUCUAACUUCCAAAAUUAAUGCCAAAACAUAUCAAACCAACUCUGAUUAACCUUAAAUUUUUCACACAAAUCAUAAAUGACACAACUGACCUAUUCCAACUUUCGGAACAAAAAUCCGAGCCAGGUAACUACAAAGUCAACUCUCGGUCAAACUUCUCAACUCUCCAAACUUUUAUUUUUCCAAAAUCAUCUACGGGUCUCCAAAUCAAUAUGUGGACACACUCCUAAGUCUAAAAUCACCAUAUGGAGCUAUCAGAACCAUCGAAACACCAUUCCGAAACCAUUUACACAUAAGUCAACAUCAGGUCAACUCUUUCAACUUAGACUUCCAACCUUGGGACUAAGUGUCCCAAUUCAUUCCGAAGCAUCCCCGGAACCAAAUCAACUACCCCGACAAGUCAUAUAAUAAUAAAUGAGCAUAGAAUAAGCAAUAAAUGGGGGAACAGAGCUGUAAUACUCAAAACGACAAAAUGACUAAGUUAAAAAAAAUAAAUUAUUUAACCUCCUUAUUAUUGGUCAGUUACUUGGCUCCAAACCUAGUGAUGUACAAGUAUUCAAUUGUGCAAAAUUUGGAGGUGCAAAAAAAUAUAUUCUAAUCAAAUGAUAGAGAAGAAAAGGAUAUAAUUUUAAGAUACUUCUGUUUAAUAGGAAUAAAUUUAAAAAUUUAAUGGUGCUUUAAAGUUGAUAUGCAACUUACACGAGAAAGAGUUGCAACAUUUCAACAUGCACGGUUUCUUCUAUUAUAGUUUAUUCGUUAAAGGAAAACGCUUGUUGAAUGUGACAGAUACUAUCAUCUUUAGUACUCUGCAUGAAAAUAUUAGUAGACAUAUCAAGCAUAGAGAAUUGUUUUGAUAUGUUAGGCUAUUAUUAAUGGAAUGGUAUGACUUUUGACCAAAUUUCUUCACAAUAAUGCUGUGAUUAGCAAUUAAUUCAAAUAAGUUGAACCGGUUCAAAAGCAAAGAAAAGAAACUAUAAAAGAAAGGGUUACACUAAAUAUAGGAAAUUAUCAAAUAUAUUGUAGGAUGGUGCAACAAUUAUACCAUACAAACUCAUGUGAAAUCUUAAUGAUAUUAAGGAAAUUAUAAUAUAUUUGUUUAUUGUUUAUUUGAGACUGCGGAAUGAAGGGGGACAAUGUCAUCAUUUUUGUAUUAUUUUGGCUUUAACAAAUAUUUCACGAAUAUUUCAUACUCAAAGAAAACACUUAAAAUUACUUUGUUUUAAUAAAUCACUGCUUAUUGUGUACAUGUAUUUCAUUUGUAAGAUUUCGGUUCAGAUUUAUUCCAGAGUCAGUUGAUAACUAUAAUAGCACAUACAAUUUUAAAUGAAAAUGAAUUUAAAACUUAUGAGCUUAAAAUUAAUCAUGUUUGGUUAGUAGGACACUUGCGAAUCCCACAACUCAUACCCCAAUCUCAUUGUUUGACAGUGGAUCUUGCGAAAGAUCGCAAUAAAUAGGUCGAAAAAUAAUUUACAAGAAAUAUAUAAAAGCAUCCUUCUCAUAAUUAAUCAGCACUAUUUUAUAAACAAAAGAUCUCUACUUGCUUGGAACUGUCAAAUGUGAUAUUAAAAUUCUGUGGUCAAUCAGUUUUUCUUAAUUCUAAUCGAAGUUCGGCAUGGUAAGAGAGCGUUACCUUGAACUAAUCACGAAUAUAUAUAGUUAAACUAAACAAGAACAUUCUCAACUUUUGAAUAUUAUUUACUUACUCACAUAAUGACCAAUACUUGAAAUACUCAAAUCAAAUAGACCUUAAAACUAUUAACAAACACUUACUAUAUUUUUUUAUGAGAGAAAAGGAAAUGAAUCAUAUAAAUAAAUUAAAACUUGUCUUUUUCUUGUUAUAUGGGGUGAAGAUAUAAAGGAUUAUAAUUUGUACCCCGAGGAUUGUUGUGGAAUGAAUAUGUUCUUUCACCCUUAAAUCAGAAGUGUUGAACCCUGGGUAAAUGGAAAAAAUUCUUGGUGCGAAUUUGUCUAGUACGGAUACCAUACAUUGGGUAUAGGAAACAAAAAAAAUAAAGGAGUACAAUUUGUGCAGCUCACAUUGGUCAAAGGCAUAUGCUUAUUAUGCAUGAAUAAAUUGUUACGUUCAAACAACAAAAGAUCUUAUGCAGGUUAAAAUCAUGCAUAAUAAGAGUAUUGGAUCGUAUUAUCACUCAUAUCAUGAUGUCCGUAGAAUACGUGAGUUAUGAUAUUCGGACACAAGUUUUCUGUGAGUGUUCUAUUUUUCUUGUCCUUUUGUUCUACAGAAAAGAACGUGAUUUGCAUUUUAAGUGUUACCAAAUUUUUUACUUUCAUAGUUUUCCGCAUUUAUAUACAUACUUGAUCGAUAGUUCAUUUUAAGUACUUAUAAUAAGUUAAUGCGUGUCUUCCAAGAUCACUGAAGAAUUUGAUUAAUUUGAUUCCUAUGUUGGAAUUUGUACUUACAACAAUGGGUUAUAGCAUAGUGACGUGACUCAAGUGGUAGAUAAAUAAAAGAAAAAUUACAAGUUAUGUUUGUCCAUAAGUAAAUUAGUACAAAAAUUGACCAAUUCGUAAAAUAUUACUAAUAUUAGCCAAAUGCUACCAAUAUUAGUUAUUUGUAGCCAAAAGAAGAUCAAUUUUUUUUGAGUGAGUGUUAUUGGAAUAGAUUGGUACAUCUUAAAGGUUUGAAUCUCAAUUUUGGGAUGAUUUGGUGGAGUUUUGAGGUGGUUUGAAUUGAAAAUUCGAAGUGAAAGAUGAACAUGGAAAAAGAUGAUACGUAUAUCACAGUGUGUACAAUUUGUGUAUCACAUGUAUAUCCAUGUAUACAUGUGUGUGAGAUACAUGCGUGAUACAUGCGUCGCAAAAAAAAUCGAUUUUAACUAUGUAUUUAAAGCCAAACCGGUCCAAAUCAUCUUCAAUCUUGCUCAAAAUUUGUACAUUGCUUCGUCCAUAUGUUUUUAAUGAAUUUCAACCAUACUCAUUGAAAAAAUCUUUUUUUGUCUAAUUUUUUUAAUGUUAUAUAUUCUUGGUAAUGAAUUUUGAUUCCAAACUGGUCUAACUCACCUUCAGAAUUCGUCAAAUUUUGUAUAUGCUACAGACGACUGUCUGAAGUGCAAGGGGUAAACUCGGACUCGGAUAGGAUAGGAUUGUGCGCGCCUAGCCCUUCGGGUCUCAUAUUUUGGCCGAGUUUAUAUUGCCUUAUCUAUAUGUUUUCAACGGAUCGCA
Molecule: long non-coding RNA, 7026 nt
Filed under: Nicotiana tabacum (common tobacco)
Lineage: Eukaryota; Viridiplantae; Streptophyta; Magnoliopsida; Solanales; Solanaceae
Description: long non-coding RNA (NTAB_LNC012721)
Source: RNAcentral